Molecule: transfer-messenger RNA, 391 nt
Filed under: Aliarcobacter cryaerophilus
Lineage: Bacteria; Pseudomonadati; Campylobacterota; Epsilonproteobacteria; Campylobacterales; Arcobacteraceae
Also listed under: 1 other name
Description: Arcobacter cryaerophilus transfer-messenger RNA
Rfam family: transfer-messenger RNA
About the family: Bacterial tmRNA, also known as 10Sa RNA or SsrA, is named for its dual tRNA and mRNA-like properties.
Source: RNAcentral
GGGGGUGACUUGGCUUCGAUUAGAGCUUUGAGGAUCAGUUGCAUGUAGGUCUGAACCGCCUUGAUAAGUUCAAAUUUUUUAGACGCAAACAAUACAAAUUACGCUCCUGCUUACGCUAAAGCUGCGUAAGUUAACAAUCCGACUCGCCUAACGGCUUGAGUCUAAGGAGGUUCACUCAGUAGAUUCUAUCUAUGCUGAUUAUAGUGGACUCACCCAGAUAGAUUAUCUUUGAGGGAUUGAUUGAAUCUCAUUGAGAAAUUUUAAAUCUUAGUUUAGUGGUUGCUUUUGGAAGUUGUGUUGCCAUUAAAUGAAAUUUUACAACUUUGCUAAACAUGUAGACGCUGGUAGUAGAGGUUUUAAGACUGGGAUUCGACUUCCCACACCUCCACCA